RNAcentral lists this long non-coding RNA (983 nucleotides) under Sorghum bicolor (sorghum). RNAcentral describes it as "long non-coding RNA (SBIC_LNC010296)". Lineage: Eukaryota; Viridiplantae; Streptophyta; Magnoliopsida; Poales; Poaceae. The record is from RNAcentral.
GAGUAAACUGUCAAAACUUAAAACUUACUUACUUUACCUUCACCAUGGGACUUGUAACUGUCACUUCUGUCUUGAGUAGUUAAAAGAUAGAACAGUCUAGUCAAGUGCCAUGUCUCUUAUUCUUGAUCAGCUAUAGUUCUAAAGUUUUUGCAGAUUUUCAAAUAAAAUUCAGAGAUUCCUUAUAUGAUUCUCUCAGAUCUCUCUUUUGUGGUAUUUUUGGAUCCUUACCAAGGCAGUGAUGGUAUAUGCCUUCUCUCAAAAAGUAUGUGGUAUUUGUGGAAUAAAGCAUAGUGACAUCGUCUUCUCUCUCACCCUACUCUAAUAAGGCUUUAAUAUCUGGAGCUCAUAGGUGGGAGAUAAAGUAUACAUACUUACAAGACAUGUAUUGUAUAGUCAAACCAUGGAUCCAAAGAAACAAAUCAAUAAGUCAAAUCAAGAUGUGCAUGUGUGGCGAAUGAAUGGUGUAUGGUGAUGAUGGUGAUAACAAUGGUGAAAGUCUAAUUCUACUUUUGCUCUUCGAGGGGAUACAUACCUUCCUUGCUUUCUGAAACUUUAUGAGGAGAAUGAGAUGCUCUUCAUUUUCUUUUCUUUCCUCUCAGGUGGGUAUCUUGUACCCCUAAUUCUACUGUCGGACACUUGUCCAUUUUUACCUCUCGUCUCACUUUUUCUUUAAUUUCGAGGUUCCGAGCACUUGCUCCUUUUUAUUUCCUCGUAUUUUUUUAGAGCACUCAUCUCUUGAGAUAAUAUAGCAAGUGGUAGUAACAAGAUAACUUGAGCAUUUAUUUCACAAGGGAAAACAGAAAUAUUUUUGGCUAUUCUCUCCCGGAUUAGGAGUAGAAUAUUUUUAGGUGAUUCUGGAGAUAGAAAUGGACGGAUAUAUGUGGAUGGUACUUCCGGAAUAGAAGUAGCAUAUAUGAGUGAACGUGCAAGUGAAUCUUGAUUUAACCACAUGACAUGCUCCUAAGGGUCUACACAGCUUGACC